Molecule: ribosomal RNA, 545 nt
Filed under: Chaetomium megalocarpum
Lineage: Eukaryota; Fungi; Ascomycota; Sordariomycetes; Sordariales; Chaetomiaceae
Description: eukaryotic LSU rRNA
Rfam family: 5.8S ribosomal RNA (bases 175-328)
Source: RNAcentral
CGAAAUUUGGCAAACUCCCUAAACCAUUGUGAACGUUACCUAAACCGUUGCUUCGGCGGGCGGCCCCGGGGUCAUCCCCGGGCGCCCCUGGGCCCCAUCGCGGGCGCCCGCCGGAGGUCACCAAACUCUUGAUAAUUUAUGGCCUCUCUGAGUCUUCUGUACUGAAUAAGUCAAAACUUUCAACAACGGAUCUCUUGGUUCUGGCAUCGAUGAAGAACGCAGCGAAAUGCGAUAAGUAAUGUGAAUUGCAGAAUUCAGUGAAUCAUCGAAUCUUUGAACGCACAUUGCGCCCGCCAGUAUUCUGGCGGGCAUGCCUGUUCGAGCGUCAUUUCAACCAUCAAGCCCCCGGCUUGUGUUGGGGACCUGCGGCUGCCGCAGGCCCUGAAAAGCAGUGGCGGGCUCGCUGUCACACCGAGCGUAGUAGCAUACAUCUCGCUCUGGGCGUGCUGCGGGUUCCGGCCGUUAAACCACCUUCAUAACCCGAGGUUGACCUCGGAUCAGGUAGGAAGACCCGCUGAACUUAAGCAUAUCAAUAAGAGGAGGAA